RNAcentral lists this transfer RNA (72 nucleotides) under Lotharella oceanica. RNAcentral's name for it is "tRNA-Asn". It matches the Rfam family "tRNA". Rfam says of the family: Transfer RNA (tRNA) molecules are approximately 80 nucleotides in length. Lineage: Eukaryota; Cercozoa; Chlorarachniophyceae. The record is from RNAcentral.
GGCUCUGUAGCUCAGCGGUAGAGCGCUCGGCUGUUAACCGAUAGGUCCCGGGUUCGAAUCCCGGCGGAGCCU